GAACCAGACUCCUACGGGAGGCAGCAGUCGGGAAUAUUGCACAAUGGAGGAAACUCUGAUGCAGUGACGCCGCGUGCAGGAAGAAGGUUUUCGGAUUGUAAACUGCUUUAGACAGGGAAGAAACAAGACAGUACCUGUAGAAUAAGCUCCGGCUAACUACGUGCCAGCAGCCGCGGCAAUACGUAGGGGGCAAGCGUUAUCCGGAUUUAUUGGGUGUAAAGGGUGCGUAGACGGGAAUUUAAGUUAGUUGUGAAAUCCCUCGGCUUAACUGAGGAACUGCAACUAAAACUGAAUUUCUUGAGUGCGGGAGAGGAAAGUGGAAUUCCUAGUGUAGCGGUGAAAUGCGUAGAUAUUAGGAGGAACACCAGUGGCGAAGGCGACUUUCUGGACCGUAACUGACGUUGAGGCACGAAAGUGUGGGGAGCAAACAGGAUUAGAUACCCCCGUAUCU
Molecule: ribosomal RNA, 451 nt
Filed under: uncultured bacterium
Lineage: Bacteria
Description: bacterial SSU rRNA
Rfam family: Bacterial small subunit ribosomal RNA
Source: RNAcentral